UGACAUCAUAUUGGAGGGAAACCAGCAGCACAAACAUCAUAAUUGAGAGGUGAUGAAGGUAGUGAUCUCAUGGGGGAAGAGUUUCUGGAACAGUAGCGGGGGAAGGAGAGAAGGUCUCUAUCCCACUGUGAGGCUACAUUCUUGGCUCUGCAUAGGAUCAGAUAGCAGACCCUCGAUGUGUUCAAAAUGGGAGCUUUCCAAAAGAUAGAGGAAUUUGGGUCACAUUUUAGAAUAACUCCACUCAUGUGCUACUCUAACUAAUCUGCAGAUUCAAAAUAAUCCCCUAAUGCUGUAAUAACCCUUUAUAUAAUUAUGCAUGGCUUUUAUUCAAGAUAUGUAAUAGUUUGAAUAAGCACAACUGUGGAAACGUUCAGCGGUCCAUCUGGCCGGUGUUAGCAUGGACAUUUUUCCCAAACUGGUUGUGAAUCACUAGAAGGUCAUGACCUACAGGGCAAUGGAGGGAAUCUG
This is a long non-coding RNA of Sinocyclocheilus anshuiensis, 468 nucleotides long. RefSeq lists it as uncharacterized. The record is from RefSeq and is a predicted model, not a curated record. The transcript has 3 exons. NCBI's taxonomy places the organism in Eukaryota, Metazoa, Chordata, Actinopteri, Cypriniformes, Cyprinidae.